RNAcentral lists this transfer RNA (73 nucleotides) under Ursus americanus (American black bear). It matches the Rfam family "tRNA". From Rfam's summary of the family: Transfer RNA (tRNA) molecules are approximately 80 nucleotides in length. Their secondary structure includes four short double-helical elements and three loops (D, anti-codon, and T loops). RNAcentral also lists the same sequence under 2 other names. Lineage: Eukaryota; Metazoa; Chordata; Mammalia; Carnivora; Ursidae. The record is from Rfam by way of RNAcentral.
GACUGGCUGGCUCAGUCAGUAGAGCAUGUGACUCUUGAUCUCAGGGUCAUGAGUUCAAGCCCCAUGUUGGGCA